Helianthus annuus (common sunflower) is the source of this 1009-nucleotide long non-coding RNA. RefSeq lists it as uncharacterized. The record is from RefSeq and is a predicted model, not a curated record. Lineage: Eukaryota; Viridiplantae; Streptophyta; Magnoliopsida; Asterales; Asteraceae. The transcript is spliced from 3 exons.
UAAGGACGGAAGAUGUAUGCAGCAAUAUUAAGUCUUUCAGCUUUUUUUGGUUCACAAACAGAUCUAAUUAUAGAAGUAUUAGUUGGGAUAACUAGUGUAAGUUUAAUAUUAUGUAAGUAGUGUUUUGGUAGUUGUGUUAGGCGGCCCGUGUUCGGGUUUUUUUUUCCGUUGUGAAUGAAGUUAGCCUUUCAAAAAAACAUUAUCACACUUCUAUUGGGUCAUCUCCAAUAACUAAACGGUACACAUAUUUAGAAUGAGUUUAAGGGGUAAAAAAUAGGGUUAAUGUAUUUAAACACCUCUAACUAUUGCCAUUUGGGCGCUGACACUCUCAACUUUGACUUUAGUUCACACCACUCCCAACUUGGCACAUUGUUUGUCCUGGCACCCCCUCGUUAAAUAAUCACUAACCUGGUUAGUAAAAUUAGCGUACGUGUCAAUUUAAGCUGAUGUGGCAUGUCCUACGUGUCAUUUAAACUAAUUCAUCAUCUUUAAGCACAACACCCUAACAAUUUGUUAGACGCACCUUGUUAGCCCCAUCCAGCCAACCUUCGUUUCUCGCCAGUCACCACUGUCGCCGGAUCCGGUCACACAUCAACCGGCGGUCGUCUUUAAUCAGCCAUCCUCCCACUACGUCGCCGCCGUCAGACAGAUGUGGUAGGAGACAGAGUUGGAAGUAGAGAAGAAGUUUGGUGGGGUUGUGCAAAUUGAAUGCGCAGAAGGUGGCUUAGGUGGUUCUACACUUGCUGUUGAUGAAUCAUGGUUUUGCUUCAUUAGUGUUUUUUUUUAACUCAAGGAUGUAUAAACAACCCAUAAAAACCAAUUCAAAGUUGAGUCCCAACUGCCCCUCUACAAGGUUAAGAGCAAGGAAGGAGACUUGGAUACAAACAAACAGCUAUAAGGGUGUAAAGAAAUACUGAUAAAAAUAUAAUUUUUGACCUACUUUGUACACAAAUUGUGUGUACGUGUAUAUACCUGUAUGGGUUACAUAAUUGAUUAUAUAUGGGUUUCA